This 752-nucleotide ribosomal RNA is filed under the name uncultured Staphylococcus sp. RNAcentral describes it as "bacterial SSU rRNA". It matches the Rfam family "Bacterial small subunit ribosomal RNA", at positions 72 to 806 of the family's 1533-position model. Lineage: Bacteria; Bacillati; Bacillota; Bacilli; Caryophanales; Staphylococcaceae. The record is from RNAcentral.
CGAGAAGCUUGCUUCUCUGAUGUUAGCGGCGGACGGGUGAGUAACACGUGGAUAACCUACCUGUAAGACUGGGAUAACUUCGGGAAACCGGAGCUAAUACCGGAUAAUAUUUUGAACCGCAUGGUUCAAAAGUGAAAGACGGUCUUGCUGUCACUUAUAGAUGGAUCCGCGCUGCAUUAGCUAGUUGGUAAGGUAACGGCUUACCAAGGCAACGAUGCAUAGCCGACCUGAGAGGGUGAUCGGCCACACUGGAACUGAGACACGGUCCAGACUCCUACGGGAGGCAGCAGUAGGGAAUCUUCCGCAAUGGGCGAAAGCCUGACGGAGCAACGCCGCGUGAGUGAUGAAGGUCUUCGGAUCGUAAAACUCUGUUAUUAGGGAAGAACAUAUGUGUAAGUAACUGUGCACAUCUUGACGGUACCUAAUCAGAAAGCCACGGUAACUACGUGCCAGCAGCCGCGGUAAUACGUAGGUGGCAAGCGUCAUCCGGAAUUAUUGGGCGUAAAGCGCGCGUAGGCGGUUUUUUAAGUCUGAUGUGAAAGCCCACGGCUCAACCGUGGAGGGUCAUUGGAAACUGGAGAACUUGAGUGCAGAAGAGGAAAGUGGAAUUCCAUGUGUAGCGGUGAAAUGCGCAGAGAUAUGGAGGAACACCAGUGGCGAAGGCGACUUUGCUGGUGCUGUGAACUGACGCUGAUGGUGCGAAAGCGUGGGGAUCAAACAGGAGUUAGAUACCCUGGUAGUCCACCCGUAAA